Rhincodon typus (whale shark) is the source of this 1459-nucleotide long non-coding RNA. RefSeq lists it as uncharacterized. The record is from RefSeq and is a predicted model, not a curated record. The transcript is spliced from 2 exons. NCBI's taxonomy places the organism in Eukaryota, Metazoa, Chordata, Chondrichthyes, Orectolobiformes, Rhincodontidae.
UCCAAUAGGAUACUCCAGCACACUUACAUCAAGCAGCUGAAGUUAAUCUUACCCACCACCUGAAAAAGUUGGGAAAAGAAGGAAAAUUAACCCAAGAUGAUGCAACUCAGAAAUGGAAAAGCAAUUUGUAAUGCUUCUCCACCCACUUAAAUGGAUAAAAUGGAUGUGUAUCUUUUUGAAAUAAGGUUACAUGGAUUUUUAAAGAUUUAAUUUUGCAUUACCUAUAAUAUUCGGGUCUUAAACCAAAUGCUGGAAACGCUUUCUGUGGAGGGAAGGCAGAAUUACCAUUUCAGGUCAGUGACCUUUUGUUAAAACUGUAUUCUAUUUUGUUGGGUUUAAUGUCAGAGAAUCAAAAAUAAGUAUGUUGUAUAACGCAUUGGGGGAGAAUUUCCAAAGGAUACAGCUAAUCAUCUAUUGCAACGUCAACAGUUAACCUUGAGAAAUUGAACAAAUGACCGAGUUAUUUUAUCAGAAUCUCUACUAUUAUAGUGGGGAUCAGGAGAAUCCAAUUGAAAGUUCUACCCGAUUGUGGUUUUGUAAAGAUUAUUCUGAGUAGUGUUGUAAUUUUGUAGUUUAUUAUAUGACAGAUUACAAGUUAUUAGAUUCAUUGCGCAUAAUUCUUAUAAGCCUUCAAACUAACAACUAUGUAAUUAAGUCUUUUGAACAAUGCAUUGCACAUUAAAUUUGUAAGUGCCACAUUAAACCCUCAAGUAACUGGUAAAACGAGCUGUCUUUUUUUUCCUUAAUGGCUGAUUUAAGCAAUUUAUAGUAUUGAUUUACUGAAAUAUUAAACUCUAAAAACAAAUUGUUUUUGUUGGAAAAGGUUGAAAUUCAACUAGUCAUAGCACCAAGUUUGUUUUCAAAAUAACACUAAUCUCAUUUUUAUUUCUGACCUUGUUGAAUGUACACAUGCAUAAAUUGCAGUCAAUUUGUAUUCACUCAGCGCUGUUAAAAUGUCUCUCGGUAUUUUGCAAAGAAAAUUCUCUUUGCUCAGAUGCUGCGUUUUAAAGUGCUGGCAACUAAAACAAGAUUAAAUACAUUUAUCACAAUGGUGAGAGAGGAGUUGGAUUGUUAGAUGGGUGAAUAAAAAAAACUCAGCACAACAAAACAUGGAGACAAGAUAAAGACAAAUUAUAAAAUGGAGAAGACCAGGUAGAAGAAAGUCGGGGAAACAGAGGAAAGAAAACAAUGAGAAAUUCACUGGAAGCAUCAAGGAGAAAAUGUAAGGAAAACAUUCUUUGAAACAUGUGAAGAAAUUGAAGUCUGGUCUCCAUCACCAACUAUACAGUUAUUGCUUGUACUGAGACUGUGCUACCGCUUUAUUAUAAACAGAAUCACCUUUAGCCUGUUAUGUGUAUCAUCACACUUGACAUAUUACUUUUGUCUACAGCUGUCUGUUUUAUUUUUCAUAACAGCUAUCUGAUCGGGUUAACAGAAUUAAACCUUCAUAUUUACACAA